GAGUUUGAUCCUGGCUCAGGAUGAACGCUGGCGGUAUGCCUAACACAUGCAAGUCGAACGGGCUCUUCGGAGCUAGUGGCGGACGGGUGAGGAACGCGUGAGAACCUGCCUCAAGGUCGGGGACAACAGUUGGAAACGACUGCUAAUACCGGAUGAGCCGAAUAGGUAAAAGAUUUAUCGCCUAGAGAGGGGCUCGCGUCUGAUUAGCUAGAUGGUGAGGUAAAGGCUUACCAUGGCGACGAUCAGUAGCUGGUCUGAGAGGAUGAGCAGCCACACUGGGACUGAGACACGGCCCAGACUCCUACGGGAGGCAGCAGUGGGGAAUUUUCCGCAAUGGGCGAAAGCCUGACGGAGCAAUACCGCGUGAGGGAGGAAGGCUCUUGGGUUGUAAACCUCAAAACUUAGGGAAGAAAAAAAUGACGGUACCUAAUGUAAGCAUCGGCUAACUCCGUGCCAGCAGCCGCGGUAAUACGGAGGAUGCAAGCGUUAUCCGGAAUCAUUGGGCGUAAAGAGUCCGUAGGUGGCACUUCAAGUCUGCUUUCAAAGACCGAAGCUCAACUUCGGAAAGGGAGUGGAAACUGAAGAGCUAGAGUAUAGUAGGGGUAGAGGGAAUUCCUAGUGUAGCGGUGAAAUGCGUAGAGAUUAGGAAGAACACCAGUGGCGAAGGCGCUCUACUGGGCAUAUACUGACACUGAGGGACGAAAGCUAGGGGAGCGAAAGGGAUUAGAUACCCCUGUAGUCCUAGCGGUAAACGAUGGAUACUAGGCGUAGUGCUGUUAGAAGGACUGUGCCGAAGCUAACGCGUUAAGUAUCCCGCCUGGGGAGUACGCACGCAAGUGUGAAACUCAAAGGAAUUGACGGGGACCCGCACAAGCGGUGGAGUAUGUGGUUUAAUUCGAUGCAACGCGAAGAACCUUACCAAGGCUUGACAUCCUGCGAAUCUUGGAGAAAUCUGAGAGUGCCUAAGGGAACGCAGAGACAGGUGGUGCAUGGCUGUCGUCAGCUCGUGUCGUGAGAUGUUGGGUUAAGUCCCGCAACGAGCGCAACCCUCGUCCUUAGUUGCCAGCAUUAAGUUGGGGACUCUAGGGAGACCGCCGGGGAGAACUCGGAGGAAGGUGGGGAUGACGUCAAGUCAGCAUGCCCCUUACGUCUUGGGCUACACACGUACUACAAUGGUUGGGACAAAGGGGAGCGAAACCGCGAGGUGGAGCGAAUCUCAUCAAACCCAGCCACAGUUCAGAUUGCAGUCUGAAACUCGCCUGCAUGAAGGAGGAAUCGCUAGUAAUCGCAGGUCAGCAUAUUGCGGUGAAUCCGUUCCCGGGUCUUGUACACACCGCCCGUCACACCAUGGAAGUUGGUCACGCCCGAAGUCGUUAUUCUAACCCAAGUGGAAGGAGACGCCGAAGGUGGGACUAGUGACUGGGGUGAAG
RNAcentral lists this ribosomal RNA (1430 nucleotides) under unidentified. RNAcentral's name for it is "bacterial SSU rRNA". It matches the Rfam family "Bacterial small subunit ribosomal RNA". The record is from RNAcentral.